This 552-nucleotide long non-coding RNA is filed under the name Apteryx rowi (Okarito brown kiwi). Its description in RNAcentral is "lncRNA (ENSARWG00000006527.1)". Lineage: Eukaryota; Metazoa; Chordata; Aves; Apterygiformes; Apterygidae. The record is from RNAcentral.
GCGGAAGGUCUUCUGCAGGCCGCCAGGGCCCGGGGCUCCUCGCCAGGCGCGCUGCGGUGCUCAGGGCCAGGGCGCGGUCCGCACGGAGCGGGCGCAUCGGGGGCUCCCGCGGGCCCGGGCGGGACCGCAGCCGUCUCCCGCAGCGGGAGGCGGCGCCGUCGCUCGUGGCUGCUGCAUCCCCCGGCCAGAUGAGCUUGGUGGCGGGGAGGGGGCGGCGGGCCGGCCGGAGAGCCCGGGACGGAGCCGAGCGCAGGGAUAAGAUGAGAACGAGGAGGUCGCUGCUAAGGACGUCCUCGGUGUGCUCCAGAUACAUGGCUUUUGGGUUGGGAGGUGCCCUGUUCUGAAGGACAGCAGACAAGGAACUGCUCCCGCUGCCUCCCUGGUGGAGACCUGGCCAUGUUGUGCCUUCCCCAAAGAAGAACCUUCUGUCUGGAAGAACAUGAGGCUACCAAUAUGCUUUACAACCCUUGUUGUGGGAUUACUCAAAGAAUUAAUCUACAUAUCACUAUGUAUAACAAACCAGCCUGGAAACAGCUUUCUGUGAUGGUGGAC